This 774-nucleotide ribosomal RNA is filed under the name Lepraria pacifica. RNAcentral describes it as "SSU rRNA". It matches the Rfam family "Bacterial small subunit ribosomal RNA", at positions 378 to 1198 of the family's 1533-position model. The record is from RNAcentral. Lineage: Eukaryota; Fungi; Ascomycota; Lecanoromycetes; Lecanorales; Stereocaulaceae.
AUAGCUGAUUGCACCAACAAAUAGUUGAUGCAAUAUUGACUCUGUCAAAUAAAAUUCUAGGUAGAAUUAUGAUAAUGACAUUGUCUGCCUAUAUGUCUUGACCAAAUUACGUGCCAGCAGUCGCGGUAAUACGUAGAAGACUAGUGUUAUUCAUCUUUAAUAGGUUUAAAGGGUACCUAGACGGUAAAUCAAGCCUUCACAGGGACUAAUUUACUAGAGUUACUUACGAGGGGGUAUUAAAGUACUGCAGGUGUAGAGAUGAAAUUCUGUCAUACCUCUUUUCAAAAGAAAAAUUAUGGCACAGGUAUAGGUGAAAGCAUCCCCUUAUGUGAUAACUGACGUUGAAGGACGAAGGCUUUGUGUCGCGAACAGGAUUAGAUACCCCMGUAGUCAAAGCAGAAAAUGAUGAAUGUCAUAGAUUAGAUAAAUAGUUUAUUCUAUAAAUGAAAAUGUAAGCAUUCCACCUCAAGAGUAAUUUGGCAACAUUGGAACUGAAAUCAUUAGACCGUUUCUGAAACCAGUAGUGAAGUAUGUUGUUUAAUUUGAUGAUCCGCAAAAAACCUUACCACAAUUUGAAUAUUUAUAUCCAUCUUUUUUUUUCGUAAAAAAAUAAAAAGGUAAUAUAUUUACAAGCGUUGCACGGCUGUCUUCAGUUAAUGUCGCGAGACUUUGGUUAGUUCCAUUAAAUUAACGUAAACCCUUACUUUAUUUUUAUAUGAAGUAGUUCCCCGCUAUAUUGGAUAUGAUAACAGGGACUAAGACAAGUCAUCAUGG